UGGACCCCAACUGACUGACAUACCACUGCAUUCUUAGAAGAUUAAUUGUUGUCAAAACAACAGUGUAAACCCUGCUCUAAGUGCCAAGAGAGGUGGGUAAUCUGGUAUAGAAAAGACUUGUAGGGGAAGUAGAGGUGAGAGUAUAGUUUUAGGGGGGUCUCACAGCAUGGAAUCAGCACCAGUGAAUGGAAGUUAAGAGAAGUAUUUUAACAACGAAAAAAAAAUUUUUUUGAGACGGGGUCUCUGUCACUCAGGCUGGAGUACAGUGGCAUGAUCACAGCACACUGCAGCCUCGACCUGUUGGACUGAAGUGAUCCUCCCACUUUAGCCCCCCGAGUAGCUGGGACUACAGGCGUAAGCCACCAGGCUUGUCUUAAUUUUAUUUUUUGUAGAGACAGGAUCUCACUAUGUUGGCCAGGCUGAUCUUGAACUUCUGUCCUCAAGCAAUCCUCCCACCUGGGCCUCCCAAAGUGCUGGAAUUACAGAUGUGAGCCACUGUGCCUGGCAGAAUUUUAUAUUAGACAAAGCUAUCUGAAGAUGAAGUAGGUAGCUUUGGAAAAGAAUGAAUUUCCCAUUGUUUAGGGCAUUCAAGCAGAAGCUUGGUGAUCCCUUUACUGAUAUGUUGGAGGGCAAUUUCCAGAAUUUAGUUUAACUGGCUGGCUGAACUACAUGAUUUUGAAGAAUCCUUCCAACUGUAAGGUUUUUCAUUUGUUCUGUUUUUUUAG
Molecule: long non-coding RNA, 725 nt
Filed under: Homo sapiens (human)
Lineage: Eukaryota; Metazoa; Chordata; Mammalia; Primates; Hominidae
Description: HSALNT0163883
Source: RNAcentral